RNAcentral lists this unclassified non-coding RNA (253 nucleotides) under plant metagenome. RNAcentral describes it as "partial contains small subunit ribosomal RNA, internal transcribed spacer 1, and 5.8S ribosomal RNA". The stretch from base 1 to 54 matches the Rfam family "Eukaryotic small subunit ribosomal RNA", at positions 1778 to 1831 of the family's 1831-position model. The record is from RNAcentral.
GGAAGUAAAAGCCGUAACAAGGUUUCCGUUGGUGAACCAGCGGAGGGAUCAUUACAGAGUUGCAAAACUCCCAAACCAUUGUGAACGUUACCUAUCCCGUUGCUUCGGCGGGCGGCCCGGGCCCCGCGCCCGGCGCCCCCCGGCCCCCCGUGGGCGCCCGCCGGAGGUAAACCAAACCCUUGAAUUGCAUGGCCUCUCUGAGUCUUCUGUACUGAAUAAGUCAAAACUUUCAACAACGGAUCUCUUGGUUCUG